AUACGGAGGAUGCGAGCGUUAUCCGGAUUUAUUGGGUUUAAAGGGUGCGUAGGCUGUGCGUUAAGUCAGGGGUGAAAUGCCGUCGCUCAACGACGGAGCUGCCCUUGAUACUGGCGUGCUGGAGUACGGAUGCCGUUGGAGGAAUGAGUGGUGUAGCGGUGAAAUGCUUAGAUAUCACUCAGAACACCGAUUGCGAAGGCAUCUGACGAAUCCGUCACUGACGCUGAGGCACGAAAGCGUGGGGAUAGAACAGGAUUAGAUACCCUGGUAUUCCACGCCGUAAACGAUGAUGACUAACCGUCGGCGAUAGACAGCCGGUGGCCAAGCGAAAGCGAUAAGUCAUCCACCUGGGGAGUACGACCGCAAGGUUGAAACUCAAAGGAAUUGACGGGG
This 393-nucleotide ribosomal RNA is filed under the name uncultured bacterium. Its description in RNAcentral is "partial 16S ribosomal RNA". It matches the Rfam family "Bacterial small subunit ribosomal RNA", at positions 523 to 918 of the family's 1533-position model. The record is from RNAcentral.